Molecule: ribosomal RNA, 301 nt
Filed under: uncultured bacterium
Lineage: Bacteria
Description: partial 16S ribosomal RNA
Rfam family: Bacterial small subunit ribosomal RNA
Source: RNAcentral
CAGCCGCCGCGGGAAAACGUAGGGCGCAAGCGUUGUCCGGAAUUAUUGGGCGUAAAGAGCUCGUAGGCGGUCUGUCGCGUCUGGUGUGAAAUCCCGAGGCUCAACCUCGGGCUUGCAUCGGGUACGGGCAGACUAGAGUGCGGUAGGGGAGACUGGAAUUCCUGGUGUAGCGGUGGAAUGCGCAGAUAUCAGGAGGAACACCGAUGGCGAAGGCAGGUCUCUGGGCCGCAACUGACGCUGAGGAGCGAAAGCAUGGGGAGCGAACAGGAUUAGAUACCCCCGUAGUCCCUGUCUCUUAUAC